CAGCCGCCGCGGUAAAACGUAGGGUGCAAGCGUUAAUCGGAAUUACUGGGCGUAAAGCGUGCGCAGGCGGUUAUAUAAGACAGAUGUGAAAUCCCCGGGCUCAACCUGGGAACUGCAUUUGUGACUGUAUAGCUAGAGUACGGCAGAGGGGGAUGGAAUUCCGCGUGUAGCAGUGAAAUGCGUAGAUAUGCGGAGGAACACCGAUGGCGAAGGCAAUCCCCUGGGCCUGUACUGACGCUCAUGCACGAAAGCGUGGGGAGCAAACAGGAUUAGAUACCCGGGUAGUCCCUGUCUCUUAUAC
This 301-nucleotide ribosomal RNA is filed under the name uncultured bacterium. Its description in RNAcentral is "partial 16S ribosomal RNA". It matches the Rfam family "Bacterial small subunit ribosomal RNA", at positions 509 to 807 of the family's 1533-position model. The record is from RNAcentral.